CAACUAUUAUUUUCUCUCUACACCGUGAAACACUUUGGAUAUCGAAUAAAUGCAAGUUGAUAUUCAGAUAAGCAUGCACUCACCCCGAGGACUAGGCUCCUCGACAUACAGAGGCGUUGUAGGAGUGACAAUACCAGAGUUAUUUGCUGAUAGCAGUGGAGAUCGCUCGUCUACCCCAUCAGUAUCAGCCAUGAUUACAGCCGCACAGCAGAGAAUGGAAACAGCGACUGAAGAGGGAAAAAAGCAGCACGCUGCCGACGGGGGAGGAGCUUAAGGCAGUCACAAGUGCCUUGCUCCAGCGAUUUUGCUUGCUUCAGCUAGUUUUCUGCAGCCUUGAGGUAUGAUAAUACCAGUACAAUCAGUUCCUGUCUCAGCAAGUCUGCACAAUUGACUUUUGCUCCACUAAACUGACCCUGAGCCCGCCAUGAGAAGCCUUAUGUAUGCAAAGAUAACCGGUGGAACAAGAUGGUCUGAAAAGAUUAAGGAACUAUAGCUUUAGUAACUUUUUUUAAGUAAAUUCCUUUGCCUGUAACCAAUCACGAUGUAGAAAAUAAGUGCCAUGCUGCCUGACUAAUGCAUGAUCAUUCCUUGUAUGGUAAUUGUUUGCACCUCUGAAAAAGUAUAAGAAUGUAUGUAGAUCAAUGUAUCUCAGAGACCACCAGGUCCGGGAUGUAGGUGCCUGGCUUGGUGCUCUCUCCUCGGAUCAAGUAAUAAAGAGA
This is a long non-coding RNA of Pristis pectinata (smalltooth sawfish), 719 nucleotides long. RefSeq lists it as uncharacterized. The transcript is spliced from 3 exons. NCBI's taxonomy places the organism in Eukaryota, Metazoa, Chordata, Chondrichthyes, Rhinopristiformes, Pristidae. The record is from RefSeq and is a predicted model, not a curated record.